Molecule: ribosomal RNA, 165 nt
Filed under: uncultured bacterium
Lineage: Bacteria
Description: partial 16S ribosomal RNA
Rfam family: Bacterial small subunit ribosomal RNA
Source: RNAcentral
UAGGGAAGUCUUCCACAAUGGGCGCAAGCCUGAUGGAGCAACACCGCGUGAGUGAAGAAGGGUUUCGGCUCGUAAAGCUCUGUUGUUAAAGAAGAACACGUAUGAGAGUAACUGUUCAUACGUUGACGGUAUUUAACCAGAAAGUCACGGCUAACUACGUGCCAG